UACGUAGGGGGCAAGCGUUGUCCGGAUUUAUUGGGCGUAAAGAGCGUGUAGGCGGUUUGGUAGGUCCGCUGUGAAAACUCGAGGCUCAACCUCGAGACGCCGGUGGAAACCAUCAGACUAGAGUCCGGAAGAGGAGAGUGGAAUUCCUGGUGUAGCGGUGAAAUGCGUAGAUAUCUGGAGGAACAUCAGUGGCGAAGGCGACACCCUGGACUCAUACUGACACUGAGGUGCGAAAGCGUGGGGAUCAAACAGG
Molecule: ribosomal RNA, 253 nt
Filed under: uncultured bacterium
Lineage: Bacteria
Description: partial 16S ribosomal RNA
Rfam family: Bacterial small subunit ribosomal RNA
Source: RNAcentral